GGCCUUUAGCACAACACGUAUUAAAGGUCCCGCCUGCCCAGUGAUUCACUUUUAACGGCCGCGGUACUCUAACCGUGCAAAGGUAGCGUAAUCACUUGCCCCUUAAAUAGGGGCUUGUAUGAAUGGCUAGAUGAGGGCUCAACUGUCUCCUAAGACACCCCAAUGAACCUGCUCUCCCAGUACAAAAGCUGGAAUAACCCCAUAAGACGAGAAGACCCUGUGGAGCUUUUAAACACACUAUCAAGCUGCCCCAGCCCGUGAUAGCAACUUUAAGUUGGGGCGACUACGGAGAAAUACAGAACCUCCACGAAAUAAACUAAAACCUGCCCCAGGCUAACAUACCAAAGGCACCCAGCCCUCUGACCCAGUAUAACUGAACACCGGACCAAGUUACCCCAGGGAUAACAGCGCCAUCCCCCUCAAGAGUCCCUAUCGCCAGGGGGGUUUACGACCUCGAUGUUGGAUCAGGACACCCCGGUGGUGUAGCCGCUGCCAAAGGUUCGUUUGUUCAACGACUAAUGUCCUACGUG
This 530-nucleotide ribosomal RNA is filed under the name Phyllodactylus lanei rupinus. Its description in RNAcentral is "LSU rRNA". It matches the Rfam family "Bacterial large subunit ribosomal RNA", at positions 1817 to 2602 of the family's 2925-position model. The record is from RNAcentral. Lineage: Eukaryota; Metazoa; Chordata; Lepidosauria; Squamata; Phyllodactylidae.